GACGAACGCUGGCGGCGUGCUUAACACAUGCAAGUCGAACGGAAAGGCCCUGCUUUUGUGGGGUGCUCGAGUGGCGAACGGGUGAGUAAAACGUGAGUAACCUGCCCUUGACUUUGGGAUAACUUUAGGAAACUGGGGCUAAUACCGGAUAGGAGCUCCUGCUGCAUGGUGGGGGUUGGAAAGUUUCGGCGGUUGGGGAUGGACUCGCGGCUUAUCAGCUUGUUGGUGGGGUAGUGGCUUACCAAGGCUUUGACGGGUAGCCGGCCUGAGAGGGUGACCGGCCACAUUGGGACUGAGAUACGGCCCAGACUCCUACGGGAGGCAGCAGUGGGGAAUAUUGCACAAUGGGCGGAAGCCUGAUGCAGCAACGCCGCGUGCGGGAUGACGGCCUUCGGGUUGUAAACCGCUUUCGCCUGUGACGAAGCGUGAGUGACGGUAAUGGGUAAAGAAGCACCGGCUAACUACGUG
Molecule: ribosomal RNA, 468 nt
Filed under: uncultured bacterium
Lineage: Bacteria
Description: partial 16S ribosomal RNA
Rfam family: Bacterial small subunit ribosomal RNA
Source: RNAcentral